ACCCAAUAUGGUAAGGAAAGAAAAGUAAU
RNAcentral lists this transfer RNA (29 nucleotides) under Schoenus ferrugineus. RNAcentral's name for it is "partial tRNA-His". Lineage: Eukaryota; Viridiplantae; Streptophyta; Magnoliopsida; Poales; Cyperaceae. The record is from RNAcentral.